AUGCUUGAUUCAGCAGCACAUAUACUAAAAUUGGAAUGAUACAGAGAAGAUUAGCAUGGCCCCUGUGCAAAGGAUGACUCUCACAUUUGUGAAGCAUUCCAUAUUUUA
This is a small nuclear RNA of Cricetulus griseus (Chinese hamster), 108 nucleotides long. The record is from Ensembl. NCBI's taxonomy places the organism in Eukaryota, Metazoa, Chordata, Mammalia, Rodentia, Cricetidae.